GCGGUCUCUUUCUAAAAUAUUUCAAUUCACUUCUUGCCAGAGUUUAAAAUUGAGUCCCGGCAAGACCAACUUCUUUGAUUUACACAUUCAAGAUGCAAAGGAAUGUCUCGAACUCUCUAUAGAGACAAAAGAGGGCCAAAAAAUAUGGGAUGUUAAUAUAGAACCAGGUAAACAACCCACAAGGACUUGCAACAUUCUCUGCGGAUCGUCUGUUUAAUCUUUUGUGUUUUAAUUUGUUGUCUGUGUUCUUCCAGAUGAACUCAACACAAACAGUUCAGCAUCUGACUGGAGGCUAAAAACAAUUAAUAGAUCGGUGCUGAUUUUGCAAUGGUGGCGCCAGCUGAUAACAGCUAUUGAACUCUCAGCUGGUGGUCCUCUUAAAACGUCUCUUCAGCGAUCCAGAAGUGAGCUGAUGUUCCCGACACUUCGUGAGCCGUCAGACCAAAGACUCCUGUUAGCGUUUAUUCAAGUUCCUGGUUUCUUUUCUUUGGUCUGACGGCUUGAUGAGAGUCUUUAUUAUACUUAUUGCAUCUUACCCCUAGCGGACGUAAUCGUUUUAAUUCAUGUUUGUUUUCUUUACCCAGCUCUUCAGUCUGCAGAGACUGACACCGCACAGAAAAAGGGAAGAUGCAAAAAGGGUGAAGGUAAACAUAAUUUAUGAAAAAUAGAUCUGGCUGUUUCUGUGCAGAUUCU
RNAcentral lists this long non-coding RNA (693 nucleotides) under Sinocyclocheilus grahami. RNAcentral describes it as "lncRNA (ENSSGRG00000038106.1)". Lineage: Eukaryota; Metazoa; Chordata; Actinopteri; Cypriniformes; Cyprinidae. The record is from RNAcentral.